This is an RNA transcript of Mus musculus (house mouse), 2481 nucleotides long. It is a transcript of the gene named TBC1 domain family, member 17, with no coding region annotated. NCBI's taxonomy places the organism in Eukaryota, Metazoa, Chordata, Mammalia, Rodentia, Muridae. The record is from RefSeq and is marked validated. The transcript is spliced from 18 exons.
AGUGGAACCUCCGCGGCGGCAAUGGAAGGAUCCAGCUACAGGGUGGUGUUUGAAAAGGGAGGCGUGUACCUGCACACCAGCGCCCGGAAACACCAGGAUCCAGACUCGCUCAUCGCCGGCGUCAUACGAGUGGUGGAAAAGGACAGCGACGUCUUUCUGCACUGGGCUCCGGUGGAGGAGGCUGGAGACCCAACCCAGAUUCUCUUCAAGAAGUUACAGUGAAAAGUCAGAAGGACACAGAGGAAUCUUGACAAGAACACAGAAAGGGCUGAGAGCAGGGGUGACCCGAGUCGGGGUGAGCCCAGCACCUCAGAGGAGGAACCUACCUUUGACCCAGGCUAUGAACCUGACUGGGCUGUCAUUAGCACGGUGCGGCCACAGCCCCACCUGGCAGAGCCCAGGAAAGGUGCAGAGCCCAGUUCCUCCCGGAGCUCCUGGGCCUUCUCCGUGAGCCUGGGGGAGCUCAAGUCCAUCCGCAGAUCCAAGCCAGGCCUCAGCUGGGCCUACCUGGUCCUGGUGACCCAGGCUGGAGGCUCCCUGCCUGCCUUACACUUUCACAGAGGGGGUACCCGAGCCCUGCUCCGAGUCCUUAGCCGAUACCUGCUGUUGGCCAGCUCUCCACAGGACUCCCGCCUCUACUUGGUCUUCCCCCAGGACCCCUCUGCCCUGUCCGACUCCUUCCACCACCUGCAGCUCUUUGACCAGGACAGCUCCAAUGUGGUGUCUCGUUUCCUUCAGGACCCCUACUCCACCACCUUCAGUAGCUUCUCUCGAGUGACCAACUUCUUCCGGGGAGCCCUACAGCCGCACCCUGAGGGCGCCUCCUCCCCUAACCUACCCCCGCUGCCAGAUGAUGAACCAGAGCCUGGCUUUGAGGUCAUUUCUUGCGUGGAGCUGGGGCAGCGUCCCACAGUGGAGCGUGCUCCUCCAGUCACAGAGGAAGAGUGGAACCGCUACGUGGGCCCCGAGGGUCGCCUGCAGAAUGUCCCUGAGUUGAAAAACCGGAUCUUCUCAGGCGGUCUCAGCCCUGGCCUACGUCGAGAGGCUUGGAAGUUCCUUCUGGGGUACCUUAGCUGGGAGAGCUCAGCUGAAGAGCACAAGGCGCAUGUGCGGAAGAAAACGGAUGAGUACUUCCGAAUGAAGCUGCAGUGGAAGUCUGUGAGUGCUGAGCAGGAGCGGAGGAACUCACUGCUGCAUGGAUACCGAAGCCUCAUUGAGAGAGAUGUAAGCCGCACGGACAGGACUAACAAGUUCUAUGAAGGCCCUGAGAACCCUGGGCUGAGCCUGCUCCAUGAUAUCCUUCUUACCUACUGCAUGUACCACUUCGACUUGGGCUACGUUCAGGGUAUGAGUGACCUCCUGUCCCCGAUCCUCUUCGUUGUUCAGAACGAAGUAGAUGCCUUCUGGUGUUUCUGCGGCUUCAUGGAACUUGUGCAUGGGAACUUUGAAGAGAGUCAGGAGACUAUGAAGCGGCAGCUUGGGCAGCUCCUGCUGCUUCUGCGGGUGCUGGAUCAGCCACUCUGUGAUUUCCUGGAUUCUCAGGACUCGGGCUCGCUGUGCUUCUGUUUCCGGUGGCUGCUCAUCUGGUUCAAGAGGGAAUUCCCCUUUCCUGAUGUCCUCCGGCUGUGGGAGGUGCUGUGGACAGGGCUUCCUGGCCCCAAUUUGCACCUGCUGGUGGCCUGUGCCAUCUUGGAUAUGGAACGGGACACCCUGAUGCUGUCUGGCUUUGGCUCCAAUGAGAUCCUUAAGCACAUCAAUGAACUGACCAUGAAGCUGAGUGUGGAGGAUGUGCUGACACGGGCAGAGGCUCUGUACAGGCAGCUGACGGCCUGCCCAGAGCUGCCACACAAUGUGCAGGAGAUCCUGGGGCUGGCACAGCCAGAAGAGCCUAGUAGCCCAUCUCCUCCGGUAUCUCCGAUGCCCUUGUCACCUACUCGGGCCCCGUUGCCCCCGCCGCUGCCUGAGGAAGUGAUCCCGCAGCCUGACAGCAGUCUUGAGAUUCUGCCUGAGGACGAGGAUGGCGCCUGACUCCUAGCCCGGUGCAUCUGACCGGGUUCCUGCAGAUUGACAGGUCCUGAGCUCCAUGUCCAUGGAGGAGGCCUGGAGCGAAGUGAGACCAUGAGCCGGCCAAUGAAAUGGAGGAAGGUCCUCCUAGAGGUCCGGGAUUCCCGAGUGCCCGCCCACCAGCUGCUGCCAUUGUGAGGCAAUAAACCGUUCUUGGUUGACUGCGCUGGCUGGCAUCAGGACACUUUGCUUUUCCCAUCUUGCUCAUAGCCCAUGCUGGCCUCAAGGUUGCUGGGUUUUUGUUCCAGUCAGGAUCUGUCAGCACCCCAGCAUCCAAUGGCUUCUGAUCUCUUCACCACGGUGUAGUGUUCAUUCACUCAAGUGUCGCCCCACCUAGGGCAGUUAUAUUCUGGAAACCAGUGCAUUGUGGAGGGAAGUGAGCCUGUGGUUUAACAAAAAUAACUUUAUUGUGGGCUA